This 839-nucleotide small RNA is filed under the name Pongo abelii (Sumatran orangutan). Its description in RNAcentral is "retained intron". The record is from RNAcentral. Lineage: Eukaryota; Metazoa; Chordata; Mammalia; Primates; Hominidae.
GAGAUGAAUGAAAUGUAUCCGAUUUCAAAAUGUUAAAUUGAUAUGCGAAAAUAAAGUUAGGUGCUCUGGGACUAAGCAAAUGAGUGUUCUAGUCAGACUAGGUUUGUCUUCCUUUUCAGUCAUUCACGAAGAUUUACUCAUAAAUAGUUUGUGUUACAGCUGAGAGUGCCUAGUUUUGUAAUGAAGCAUUUUGUUUUUUACUUCUAAAAAAAAUUCUGAACAUAGCUGUAUGCACUGUAUCUUAUCCCCUGUGCCGUGACACUCACUGUCAGCUCUCAUUCCCUCUCCAGGCUGGUGAGAUUGGAGAGAUGAAGGAUGGAGUCCCGGAGGGAGCACAACUUCAGGGACCGGUUCAUCGAAAUCCAACUUACCGCCCAAGGUACCGUAGCAGGGGACCUCCUCGCCCACGACCUGCCCCAGCAGUUGGAGAGGCUGAAGAUAAAGAAAAUCAGCAAGCCACCAGUGGUCCAAACCAGCAGUCUGUUCGCCGUGGAUACCGGCGUCCCUACAAUUACCGGCGUCGCCCGCGUCCUCCUAACGCUCCUUCACAAGAUGGCAAAGAGGCCAAGGCAGGUGAAGCACCAACUGAGAACCCUGCUCCACCCACCCAGCAGAGCAGUGCUGAGUAACACCAGGCUCCCCAGGCACCUUCACCAUCGGCAGGUGACCUAAAGAAUUAGUGACCAUUCAGAAAUAAAGCAAAAAGCAGGCCACAACCUUACCAACACCAAAGAAACAUCCAAGCAAUAAAGUGGAAGACUAACCAAGAUUUGGACAUUGGAAUGUUUACUGUUAUUCUUUAAGAAACAACUACAAAAAGAAAAUGUCAACAAAUUUUU